This 497-nucleotide ribosomal RNA is filed under the name uncultured bacterium. Its description in RNAcentral is "partial 16S ribosomal RNA". It matches the Rfam family "Bacterial small subunit ribosomal RNA", at positions 28 to 507 of the family's 1533-position model. The record is from RNAcentral.
GAUGAACGCUGGCGGCGUGCCUAAUACAUGCAAGUCGAGCGAACAGAUGAGGAGCUUGCUCCUCUGACGUUAGCGGCGGACGGGUGAGUAACACGUGGAUAACCUACCUAUAAGACUGGGAUAACUUCGGGAAACCGGAGCUAAUACCGGAUAAUAUAUUGAACCGCAUGGUUCAAUAGUGAAAGACGGUUUUGCUGUCACUUAUAGAUGGAUCCGCGCCGCAUUAGCUAGUUGGUAAGGUAACGGCUUACCAAGGCGACGAUGCGUAGCCGACCUGAGAGGGUGAUCGGCCACACUGGAACUGAGACACGGUCCAGACUCCUACGGGAGGCAGCAGUAGGGAAUCUUCCGCAAUGGGCGAAAGCCUGACGGAGCAACGCCGCGUGAGUGAUGAAGGCCUUCGGAUCGUAAAACUCUGUUAUUAGGGAAGAACAAAUGUGUAAGUAACUAUGCACGUCUUGACGGUACCUAAUCAGAAAGCCACGGCUAACUACGUG